This 222-nucleotide ribosomal RNA is filed under the name uncultured bacterium. RNAcentral describes it as "partial 16S ribosomal RNA". It matches the Rfam family "Bacterial small subunit ribosomal RNA", at positions 524 to 739 of the family's 1533-position model. The record is from RNAcentral.
UACGUAGGGUGCGAGCGUUAAUCGGAAUUACUGGGCGUAAAGCGUGCGCAGGCGGUUUUGUAAGCCAGAUGUGAAAAUCCCCGGGCUAACCUGGGAAUCGGCAUUUGGGACUGCAAGGCUCGAGUGCGGCAGAGGAGACUGGAAUUCCUGGUGUAGGCGGGUGAAAUGCCGCAGAUAUCAGGAGGAACACCAAUGGCGAAGGCAGCGUCCGCUGGGACGGUG